This 1492-nucleotide unclassified non-coding RNA is filed under the name Hevea brasiliensis (rubber tree). Lineage: Eukaryota; Viridiplantae; Streptophyta; Magnoliopsida; Malpighiales; Euphorbiaceae. The record is from RNAcentral.
GGACUUUCCAACCUCCAAACCAUUGGAUUGAAAAAUGGCGAAGCCAAUCCAUUUUUCUUUUGUACAAUUGGCUCCGGCUGUAACUCGAACUCCAAACCUUACAGCUUUGGAGAAGAACCAGCACUAAUAAAUUAAAACUCAUUGGUAACAUUACUUUAAAUACAUUUUCGCUGAUUCUAAGGCUCUUAUUAGCUCAAGAUCUGUUCCAAAAUGUAAAAUUUAUUGUAAUACAAUUAAGUACUCUUACACAAGGUUUUGAAACAAAACUGAUAACAAGAAAUCCCUAGAAUUUUUCUCCUGCUAUGAUCCAUAACAGUAAUCCAAACCAAGUGAAAAUAUGGAUGGAAAAAUCUACAGUGGCAAUCAGCAAAAUUUCCCACAUUGAGAUGCUUCUUGCAAGAACUGAGAAAAUUCUUAAUUAAUUUAAUCCCAUUUGAACUUAAAAGCUGUGAUCCACACCUACAUUCAUCAAUGACAGCUCUCAAAAUCCAAUGUUGCUCCAAAUGAUUUAGUUCCAGUUCUUCUUCAGACUAAUCAUACUUUUCCCUCCAAGUAUACACCAGAAAGAACACCCAAGAAAGUGCCAGCAAAAGAUCUCCAAUCACCUGCUUUGGCCAAUGCCAAGCCAAAUCCUCAAGCCUCCUCUCAAAGUAAAACCUCCAAAGAGCCAUUGCUACAUGGAGAAGCACACACCCUUUAGCAAAAAAGCUUUGAAACUCUUUAUCCUUCACAAAUGCUACCAUGAACACUAAAAACCCAAUUACAAACAGAAGCAAACCCGCAAAGGAAUUGGAUAUUUGGAUCAGUAAUUGAUCAUGUGGGGUUGAACCUAAAAGCUUUUGAGCUGUCUCAGUGCCAUGUCCAAGAACAGAGAUGUCCUUAAGAUAGAACAUUAUUGAGGAGCCACAUGUUAUUGCAACUGUAGAAUGCAGAAUACAGAUGAUAGUAAACAUAGAGGAAACCAUCAAUACAAAGGAUACGCAAACCCUAGCGCAGUUGUUUCUAUCUUCCUUAUAUAUGGAUAGAUUCAUCACAAAAACCCCAUAACAGCAUAAGCCAAAGAACCCAUGAAAAAUUAAACCUUAAAAACUCAAGUAAUUUGAUAAUCAAUAUUGGUGAAAACUAAGAAUUAAACCUUAAAAACACAGAAGAGAACGAUCAGAGAAGAAGAGAAACGAACCCUUUAAUGAACAAUUGAAGGACUGUUUCUCAUCCUGAAAAGGCCAUAAAAUUGAAUGGAUUUAUAGUGGAAUUCUUGUGUUGAGAUCUGCUAUGAGAUUGAGAGUUUCAAUGUGGAUGCAUAGAGAGUCUGAUCUGUAAUUGGAAAUGAUCACCGAAGGAGCUGUGAGGACAAAUUGGCGGGGUUAUUGAGAUGUGUGCUGUCCCGUGGCAGCUGGAUUUGGCGCUUUGCUCCCUGAUUUUGUCUGCUUAUUGGUGUGGCAAUGAAGCACUGUUAGCGCUCCAAAAAACGUUAUUCUCGCUCCAUUGCUUC